AGACAAUCACCAGAACAUAAAGAAACUUUUUGACCCGGAUGAUGUUACCACCAGCCAAAUCUAAAGUGCUUUAAAUGAGUGCAGCGCUAUAUAAGUGCUUAGGUAAGUGUAUUCACUAGAUCUUGGAACUCUUACCCUUUAUCGUUUCUCUUGAUACAAUAUGGUACAUAAAAAAGAAGAAAAAAGAACAUAUACAGAUAAUAGUGUAAUAUGUCUUUAAAUAGAGCGAUUGGUGAAAUAAGUGAAUAUAUAAACUCACAUUCGUUAGAGCCUUUUCUAGUGUUAGGCUCUAAACUUCUGCACGUCUGUGUCUUUUUUGGGUAGAUCACACGACCCCUCUCUCACAAGGAAGAUAUGAAUGUUCUCCACCGAAUAUAUAAAA
This is a non-coding RNA of Pelobates cultripes (western spadefoot toad), 382 nucleotides long. The record is from the annotation of a GenBank genome assembly. NCBI's taxonomy places the organism in Eukaryota, Metazoa, Chordata, Amphibia, Anura, Pelobatidae.